CGUCACAUACCCUUCAGUAUGCAAGAACAACGCAAAACUGGGAGAACUGUGCAACACUGAAGACAGCAUGGUAGAGAAACAACGAAGGGGUCCCUCCGUUCAGGAAGGACAUUGCGGGGCUGAAGCGCCUCCAAAGAAGAGCAGCGAAGUUGGUGAAGGAUCUGGAGCACAAAUCCCAUGAUGAAAGGCUGAAGGAGGUGCCACACAAAGGGUCCUUGGGAUGGGGAUUGGAAAUGCCAUGAAAGCUGGCUGGACCAGGCUCCUAAGCAAAUUGCAGGAAUAAUGAGGAAUGCAUCUUUGAGGAAUGAACGAGCCCAUUUACCCCUGAGGAGAAGCUGCCUUCUGCUACCCAUUCACCUGUGUCUGUGCAGUGGAUUAUGGUGCCAUGAGGAUAGAAAACAUGGAAAUAUACAGCUCACUGCUGAGACAAGAGAUUCAAAAUCGUGGGCUAUUGCUCAGGUGCUGUGGCUGCUGAGGGGCCAACACAGGCCCAGACACAGCUCCAGGGUACCAUCCUAAUGUUUAGCAGUUAUUUAGGACUUUGCUGCUGCUGCCAGCUCUAAUUCUAAGUCUAGGGAGAAGUAAUGUGUGAGUCUUCGCAAGACACUUUCUCCAAGAGUGACUGGGAUACAGAUAAAAUCCUGCCACAAGACAGUGAAUGCUGGCAGCCACCAUGCUCCUCUGCUCUUGGACAAUUGUCAUCGUCCCUUUCUCCCACAGCUGCUCCAUCCCUCAUCUCUGCCUGUUGCUCCAGUGUUUCCUCCCAGCUUCCACCCUCCUCCCUCUCCUGGGGUGUACCCUUCUUCAGGAAACACAGCACUGGACAUGUUUCAAGGGGUUUUCAGACAGAGGAUGGGGAAUGAAGAAGGAUCAUUUGGCUCCCGGGAAGGCAAUGUGACAAAAGGAAAAGAGUCUGUGAGCUGCCAAACAGAGGCAAUAGAGUUAUAUUAAAACAGU
Molecule: long non-coding RNA, 957 nt
Organism: Serinus canaria (Common canary)
Lineage: Eukaryota; Metazoa; Chordata; Aves; Passeriformes; Fringillidae
Exons: 3
Source: RefSeq, a predicted model, not a curated record